GACAGAGGGUGCGAGCGUUGUUCGGAAUUACUGGGCGUAAAGCGCGCGCAGGCGGAUCCUGCAAGUCAGAGGUGAAAUCUCACUGCUCAACGGCGAGACUGCUUCUGAGACUGCGGAUCUGGAGACCGGUAGAGGCUGGUGGAAUUGCAGGUGUAGCGGUGGAAUGCGCAGAUAUCAGGAGGAACACCGGUGGCGAAGGCGGGAUCCUGGGCCAGUACUGACGCUGAGGAGCGAAAGCGUGGGGAGCAAACAGG
RNAcentral lists this ribosomal RNA (254 nucleotides) under uncultured bacterium. Its description in RNAcentral is "partial 16S ribosomal RNA". It matches the Rfam family "Bacterial small subunit ribosomal RNA", at positions 524 to 776 of the family's 1533-position model. The record is from RNAcentral.